This is a long non-coding RNA of Acinonyx jubatus (cheetah), 10941 nucleotides long. RefSeq lists it as uncharacterized. The record is from RefSeq and is a predicted model, not a curated record. NCBI's taxonomy places the organism in Eukaryota, Metazoa, Chordata, Mammalia, Carnivora, Felidae. The transcript has 5 exons.
GCCACCACCUGUCCUUCCUCCGCCGUCGCCUCACCACGCUUGCGCGCCGCCUGCCCAAGGCCUCCGACAUUGAGGAGCGGGGCUCAGGGCCACCUGCACGAUCUCCGCGAGUCCCCGCAACGAUCCUGCCACGAGACUGUCACCACAGUGACGGGAAGCCCACCGUGGACAAGGCAAACCAUCCCCCUUAGACAUAGGCCCGUUUGCAUGGCGAUCGAGUACGCACUCCGGAGCCAGACCGUCUGGGUUACCGUCCUGGCCUUGCCCGUCGCCGGUGGCAUAAGCCUGUGCAAGUUCCUAACCUCGCUGAGGAGCAUUUCACUCAUCUGUAAAUGGGGGGUAACGAUGCUGGCCACCGCAUAGGGUUAUACAAGCGACGCUGGCGAAGUGCUGCAGAACCGUGCCCAGGCUGCCGUGAGCGCAUGCCGUUCUCUCUAGCAGCUCCGCGAGGUGGCCAUUCCUGCUCAAGAGGGAACUUAAGCCCAAAGAAAUUCAAUGAUUCAUGCAAGAAGAAGUUAACUGGGCAACAGUCACAGCAGGUGGGUUCUUCCUGCAAAGCUGAUACUUUUCCCACAGAACUUCCAUGCCUGGGUUUCAGAGAUGUGCAGCAACAUGUCCAUAUAACACAGGGGAUGAGAAAUUGUCUAGAACACAGAUCUUUUUUUUUUUUUUUUUUCUCCCCACGGCUGCUGUAGGGGGUCUACCCAGGUAUGACAGUUGCAUCUUAAGGUCAAAACUGUUGAACAGUAAGUUAAUUUGAUUAAAUGGGAUGACUUCAAAGCUCAUUGCUUAGAUCCUGGGGCUAAAUAAAAAUUGAUGCCUCCAAACGCAGGGGUAGUAAGCCACCAGUUAUUUGAAUGGGUGGUACAGGCUGUUCAUUUGUUCAUGAAAUAUGCUUUAAGAUUCUCCAAACACUCAUAAAAUCAACAUAAUCAACAGCUCCCCAAGGCCAAGCUGGUUUGGGCGACCCUCCCUUCUGGUUUGUCUUAUAAAAUGCUUUAUUUACGUGCUACAAGGGCCCCACUUCAAAGUCUCAGUGGUUCCAAUGGUAAUGAGUGAAUAAUCCAGUUGAGCAAGUAAUCAAAGAACAAUAACAAUUGUUCUAACCAUAAAGCCCCCAGUUUGCAAUUACUUAGCAGUUUAAAUUCACUUCAUUUAGAAAAUUUUGCCUCUGAGGCAGGCUGAGACUCUCAUUCAGAGGCCAAUUAGAUUAAAUUAGGAGUGACACGUUAGCUGGGGAGACUUAAUUCAUUUUGGGUUAUUUGUAGCUUUAAUUAUAAUCCAGACACAGCCAGAGCCACAUUUUGGAACAUUUUCUUGCCUCUGUGGGUGCUGGAAGUGAUUGGAUCCCUGGGAGAGAUGUUCCAGGUGGCAUGUGGCCAGCCAAGUGACCGAAGGCUGCUUUGUCAUCAGACUCUGCUCUAGACCUAUUCUCCCAGCUGCUAUUGAAGACUCACAGGAAGUGAGCUUGUCUACAAGAUCUUCCUUUUUAAAAAGUAGCUUUAUUAAAAUAUAAUUAACAAAACAAACACAUUUAAAAUACACAAUUUGAUAAGUUUGACACAUGUAUAUACCUGUUUAAUUAUUCUCACAAUCAAACUAAAUAAACAUAUCCGUUGCUCUCCUAAAUUGCCCCAUAUCCCUUUGUAAUCUCUCCCACCUUGACCCCACACACUCAGGCAAACACUGGUCUGUUUUUUGUCACGAUAAUUUGUAUUUUCCAGGAUUUCACAUAAACAGAAUCAUACGAUAGGUACUCUUGUUCUUUCACACAGCAUGAUUACUUUGACAUUUGCCUAAGUUGUUUCUAGUAUCAAUAAUUGAUCCUUUUUUAUUGUUCCAUAGCAUUCCAUUGAAUUGAUAUACCACAGACUGUCUCUCUAUUCAGAUGUUGAGAAAUGUGGGCUGUUUCCAGGUUGGGGUUGUUACAGACAAAGAUGCUACACAAUUUAUGUGCAUAUGUUUUCAUUUCUCUCAGCAAAAUACAUAGGAAUAGAAUGGCUGUAUCAUAUGAUAGCUAUAUGGUUUCUUUUUCAGAAGCCACCAAACUGUUUUCCAAGCCAUUGUACCAUUUUACAUUGCCAUCAACAUUGUAUGGAAAGUUCCAGUUGAUCUGCAUUCUCACCAGCACUUGCUAUAGUUAAUCAUUUCAAUUUUGCUUCUUCUUUUUUUUUUUCUUUUGAGAGAGAAGGGGGGAGGGGCAAGAAGAGGGAGAGAGAGAGAGAGAGAGAGAGAGAGAGAGAGAGAGAGAGAGAAGCUUAAGCAGGCUUCACGCUCAGCACAGAGCCCGACGCAGGGCUUGAUCCCACAAUCCUGGGGUCACAACCUGAGGCAAAAUCAAGAGUCAGAUGUUCAACUGGCUGAGCCAUCAGGGCGCCCCUCAAUUGUAGUCAUUUUAAUAGUGGUAUCUCAUUGUAAUUUUAACUUGCAUUUCAAUUAUGAUAAUGAUAUUGAAUAUCUAUCUUUUCAUAUGCUUAUUUGUCAACAUGUGUCUUCCUCUCCCAAGUGUCUGCUCAAAUCUCUUGCUCAUUUUUAAAAUUUAGCUGUGUUCUUACUGAAUUUUGAAAGUUCUUUACAUAUUAUGCAUACAAGUGUUUUUAUCAAAUAUACGAUUUGCAAAUAUUUUCUCCCAGACUGUGGUUUGUCUUUCCAUUCUCUUAACAGUAUCUUUUGAAGGGUUGAAGUUUUUAAUUUUGGUGAAGUUCUGUUGACCAAGUUUGGUUUUUUUGUUUGUUUGUUUUGUUUUUUAUGGAUUGUGUUUUGGUGUCCUAUCUAAGAAAAUCUUUGCCUAGCCUAAGCUUGCAAAAUUGUCUCCUAUGUUUUCUUCUACAUGUUUUACAAUUUCAGGUGUGCCUUUAGGCCUACUACAUUUUGAGUUAAUUUUUCUUUUUGGUGCAAGGUACAGAUCCAAGUUGAAAUUUUGGCAUGUGGAAAUCCAGUGGUUUGGUACCUUCCCUUCUCCACUGAACUGCCUUUGCAACUUUGUGAGAAAAAAGUUAUCCGUAUAUAUGUGCAUCUCAUUUCUGGAACAUUCUAUAUUCUGUUCCAUUGAUCUGUUUGUCUGUCUUGUAGCAAUACCAUAUGUUUUGAAUAUUGUAUCAUUAAAAUAAGUCUCGAAGUCAGGUAGUGUUAGUCUUCCAACUUUGUUCUUCUCUUUAAAAGCUGUUUGGGCUGUUCUAGGUCCUUGCAAUUCCAUAUGAAUUUUAGUUUAUCAAUUUCUACAAAAUCCCACAAGAAUUUUUUUUUUUUUUUUUUUUUUUUUGAGAGACAGAGAGAGAGAGAUAGCAUGAACAGGGAAGGGGCAGAGAGAGAGAAGCAGGCUCCAGGCUCUGAGCUGUCAGCACAGAGCCUGAUGUGGGGCUUGAACCCAUGAACCAUGAGGUCAUGACCUGAGCUGAAGUUGGAUGCUUAACCAACUGAGCCACCCAGGCACCCCACAAGAUCCCCCAAGAAUUUUGAUUGACAUGUUGACCCACAAUUACAGCAGCAUGUGUCUUGAUUUAUCUAGCUAUUCUUUCAUUUCUGUCGGCAGUGUUUUGUAGUUUUCAGGUUACCUGAUUUGUUCAUCUUGUCAUAUUUAGUCCUAUUUUAUAAUUUGAUGUUAUAAUAAAUAGCAUGUUUUUUUUGUUUUAAUUCAACCUCUGAUAGUUCAUUGCUAGUAUAUGUAGAGGGAAAAACUGAUAUAAUGUUGUGUCUGACCACCUGUUGUUUUGUCCAGCCUUUUCCAGGUAUUUCCAGGUAUAUUCCCCGUUAUUCCCUGUUAUUCCCUGUUGGCUCAGAAGUCCUCUUUGAAAGUUCCUAAUUAGAAUUUGGAUUCCUUUCUUCUUUUACAUGGCUGUAUCCCUUUCCAUUCCUAGCACCUGACUGCCUUUUUAUUAUAUCAUAAUUAUUAUCAUUACCAUUAUGAUUAUUAAGCUUCAAACUGCAUUGUAAUUUCUCAUUUGCUAUAAUUACACCCCAGAACCAGAACAGAUGUCAGGCAGUUGAGAAGGAACUUUUGCACCAGGGUAAAGGCUUGAUUCUCCAUUGUUUUAAAUCUCCUGUUACUGAAAAUUCCCAUAGGGUAGUUUUCCUCAAAUUCUGGUGUGCAUCACCAAUCAUCAAAGGAGCAUAUUUUUAAAAUAUAGAUUCCCAGCAGAACUUCUGCCCCAUCCAAGGAAGCUGAAUCCAGGAAAUCUGUAUUUUUAAGCCACUACACAGGAGAAUCUGUUAUAUACCAAAGUGUAGGUACCUCUGUUACAGCCAAGUCUUGUGAACCACCCGGUUCAGCCACUUGGAAAACCACUAAGCUGUAAAACUUGUCUCCUCGGUGUUCCUAUUCUUCAUUUUUUCUCUACUCAGGCUCUUUGGUUUCUCAGUUCUCUCUCUAGCAAAGCAGACUUCGGCAAAUUAUUUUCAAGCGUUGUUCUAUGGAUAUCAUAUUGGCAUGCUUUCUCACCCUUGCUUCCGAGAGAAGUUACACAGUCAACAGCCCCUCCUGCCUAGGAGGCCCUGUGACCUGGCCUCAGCCCAGUCCCCCACCAGCCACAGCUUACUGGUUCAGGGUAAAGUAAACUGGAAGAGUGGCUGGCGCUAGUCUCCUGCAAGGGCAGUGUCUAAGCUGGGCCGGAGCAAUUCCUGCAUUCCCUGCCCAAAUGUCCAGAAUGGGUAAAUCCAUAGAGACAGAAAUCAGAUGGUGGUUGCUGGGGGCUGUGGGGAGAGGGGUGGGGUGUGGCUGCUUAGGGUUAUGGGGUCUCUUUGGGGGCAAUGACAAUGUUUUGGAACUAGAUGGAGGUGAUGGUCACACAACAUUAUGAUUGUACUAAACGCCACUGAAUCGUUUACUUUUGAAUAGUGAAUUUCCACCAAAGAACAAAAGUCUGAGCAGUGGGUGCUGGCGUGGUGAUGUGAGCACCCCAAAGCUUCCAGAGGUCAUGUUCCUCAGGAGAUCCUAGAGGAUUCACCUUCUGUGUCAGGGAUGGUGAGGGACACCAGGAUCACUGAGAAGUUCUAUGUGAUCACCUCUGCAGGCAGGGCCGAGGGUAGGAGAGAAGGUCAUGGAACUUGGCUCUCUUAGAGCAGUGGGGCUUGCACCUUAGACUGGAAGCAGGAGGUCAAAUGGCAGGGCCCCAGGUAGAUGGGAAAGGGAAAUUCUGUCUCUGUGCCUUCUUUUCCUUGGCCCAGAUUUUGAAGAGUUAGGCUAGUUAACAACAUCCCUGAAUGAUAAGGAAAAUGGUUCCAGCCAUGUGGGGGCAGGCCAGCAGCCAGGUCCAGAGGCUUCCCUGUGAGGCAGUAGGUCCCAAAUGUGGCUGUGUAUCAGAAUCUACUGGAAGCUUCAAAAUAUUAUACCUACCCCAGGGCUUCACUCCCAGAAAAGUUUCAUUUCAGAAGGUGGAGGAGAGGAAGGGCAGGUGGGAAUCAUAUUUUCAAACAUCAAUCCAGGGGAAUUUAAGGCAUAUUCCCUAGAAGAGAGCAACUGCUAGGAACCCUCGGGUGCCACUGAAGAUGAGUAAAACACAGACCAGCAUGAACAGAGUCCUGGGUGGUGGAGAGCAAUGCAGAGCCACAGUAAAGGGUUUAGAUUUUAUCCCAUUUGCAAAAGAAGACAUUGGAGCAUUACAACUGGGAAAUGAUAGGAUCUGACUCACACUUCAAAAAUUAUUAUCUCAGAGCAAUUAAAAUACCAUGAUACUAAAGGGUUGAUCUUAUCCACUUGUAGAAGAAAGGCAAAUUGUAAGCUUUUAGGGUGAUGCAGGGUAACUUCCCUUCAUAUCUCCACUGUCUGCCGAGUUUUAUCUAAAGCAAGUGUGAGUUGGUAAUUCUAACAUUUUACCAAGGAAUUCGAAAAAUAUUGGCUUGGCAAAGACCUCAAGAGAACAUGUGGUCCAACCUGCAGACUUCCAGGUAGGUCCAGGCAUAAAUCAUCUCAGAGAGAUAAAUACCCAAAUCACAUGCCAAUGCUGAUCCUGAGAACCAGCUUCCCAUCUUCUCUGGUCUGACUAGGACACUCAUCACCACUGAUUAGAGGUUUGAAAAUGUUCUCCUUGUUCUAAAGAAAUUAAACAACAAGAAAAACAGGAAACUAAAAAAAAUGUGGGAUACCUUUAGAUGCUCAGAAUCUGGUUUCUUCAUAUCCCCCUCAGACCACUGCAAUCUACCAUUUGACUUUUUCCAUUGAAUGCAUUGAUUCAAUUCACAUCCAGUCCUCAAAUGUUGGUGGAGCACCCAGUAACUGCAUGGUCCUCGGAGGACACAGGGUGGUCACUGACACCUAAGGUCCUAAAAAAGGCAAAUUCGACCUCUUCAAAAUCACAUGAAAAGUGAUAUUUAUAAGCAUGGACACAUGAUCUCUGUAUGUUAGUAUGUGAAAAUAGUAAUGCAAAUGUAAACAAUAUUGUAAAUUUUAAAAAAGAGGGAAAGACUGGAAUAAUUUUCUUUUUAAUAUUUAUUUGUUUUUGAGAGAGAGAGAGCACGAGCUGGGGAGGGGCAGAGAGAGGGGGACAGAGGAUCCCAAGUGGGCUCCAUCACUGACAGCAGCGAGCCUGAUGCAGGGCUCGAACUCUCAAGCCAUGAGAUCAUGACCUGAGCCGAAGACGGCCGCUCAACCGACUGAGCCACCCAGGUGCCCCUAGAAUAAUUUUCAAGUUACAAGCUUAAAAGGAAAACAAUAAUAAAAUGUAUGACUGUAUGCGCAGCAUUCUUCAGCUUGUGUUUUAAAAGCUGUAUAUAAGUGAUUGGAAAAUCAUAUCACAAGACUUCUUGUUUAAAUCACUUGCUAUUAUAAGAAAAGGCAACAUAAUAAAGAGCAAAACAAAACAAAAAAAUAAAAUAAGGCUGCUUGUGGUACGGCAGGAGGCAAAAAGAAACACUGGAAAAAAUAUGCCAAGAUCCAUAUCAUCCUGAUGUUCUCCGUUGUUUUCAGAUACCCUCCCAGCAGUUUUGCUGUCUCAGGCACAUAUCGACACACGCCGGUAAUGGGAGCAUAUUAGAGCAGCAGUACUCUGAGGAAUCCGUCCGGCUUUUAAAUGUGGUUCCAUUAUGGCAUUACACGGCGCCUCCGAGUCCCAUGGCCACGUACAGAGGAUAGGAGACGUGACCCAAGGAACUCGGGCAAAAUGACAAAGGAGACCAGUCAGGCUCUGUGGCAGCAGAUAACAUUUUCUUCUUCCAACAAACCACAGAGCCUUUUAAAAAACAAAUAGAAUAAUGAUGUGGGCGAGAAGUACCCCUCCCUGGGAUCAGCAGAUGGAGAGGAAGAAAGUAGAAAGCAGGUGAAUUGCCAAAAAAAAGGCAGGAAAGUGAAAAACAUUAAAAUUUCAGAGUUAAUUAUAUACCACUGCUCAAGAAAUGAGAGAUAAGAAGCCAGAAAAAUACUAAUUUAGUGAAGGUUGAACAAACAAUUCUUCUCCCAGAGGCAAAGAAAGGAAGGCGCAAGUAUUUCUAAACUCUGGCGAUUAUACAGAUGGCAGAAAGAAUAAAGACGAAAUUUCAUUGACGACGCAAGCCCACAUAAUAAGGGAGAGUAUUAGGAAGACAACAGCAGUCUGAAGUGUUUACAGUGUUGAGUGCAGCAACAGCUCAGCAAGCACGUAGAACGCAUUAUCUGAGUUGUGAAAAAUUACCCUCAGAAAUCAUGGAAAUUAAUCCAGAAGUUAAACAUUUAUUAAAAACAAGAUUAGAGAUUACAGGAGAAAGGUCGAGUCUGAAGGGUCAACGAGAGCUGCAUUAGCUGGUUUCUGCACCGCCCGCCAAGUGGGUUGUGUUUGAUUGGGAGCGCAAGGUCCAGAUGGAAGUGGAGCUUCUGGGGGCCCCAUCCUCUCGGGGGGCCACCAGUCUGCGCACGGGGAAAUCACCAUUGGUGUCAGCCGUUCUUGCAAAAAGCGGAUGAUGCAACGAGGACCCCUGACCCCUGAUCCCUCCGUGACGUUCGUAACCUGGGAAGGGAAGUCAGCCUCUGGGUGUGAUUAACUGCGUGGCUUGAGUACUGGACAACAUUCAAAAUUGAACCCAGCCCCUUCCAGCACUCGGCUGCCAAGGUAUUGACUCCAAUGCCCAGGUGAAUGAAGCACUUUGCUGUGGGUGGCAGAGUUUUGCCUCCCAUCCUUUUUUGUCAAAAGCGUCAAGCAAACAGGAAAGAUCAUUUGAAUAGACAAGGGAGCGUCUGUCUGAUGUGUUUCUUAGCACAGCACUGGAAACGAGGGAUGUUGCAGGAAUGUGCACAGAGCCAUUCUGUGGGUGCAGGUGAAGAAGAGGUUUUCUUGAUGACUAAUGAGUUUGUACCAUACACCCCUCUGCGUGUGAGUUCUUUCCACGCCAAGAGUGAGAUUCACCUAGUGUCAGGUCCUCUUGAAACUCUGCAAAAAUGUGAAUGGCCCAGAAUCCUCAGGUAGUCAAGAGAGAAACAAAAAGGAAAAUUUCCUGUCCUUCUACUUUGGUCUAAUUUAUUUUCUUGUGGGUAUGCAUUACCGGCUCCUUCCCCCUAGAACUCCAUGAAUUUGGACAUAUAUAAAAAUUUUACAUGACCCAAAUUUUCAUCAGGAAAAGAAAUAAGAUUCAAAAGAAAAAAAAAAUCCAUCCUCUUAACACCCUUUAGUUACAUUAGAAUUUGCAGCCCACAGCCUGAACUUCUCAAAACUCCGUGAAACCCUAUUCUCUCCAACAGGUGCUAUUUUGGGAGACAAAGUUGGAAUGGUUAUGAACUUGGGAGUCAAAAAGGUCUAGGUUUUCAAAUGCUAGAUUUGUCAGUUACCAGUUGUGUGACCAUGAAGGUGUUCAAUCUCAGUGUCAUCAGUUGUAAAAUGGGAACAAUAACAUCUACCCUAUGGAAACAUCCAAUGCAUGAGAUAAAAGGCGUUUUAGCACAGUGACUGGAGCAUAGGAAGAUGUCAGUAAAUAGCAGUCAUUGUUGCUCUUACUAUUAUCAUUAUUAUUAAAAUAAGCUAGAAUUUUGGAAUAAAUUUUUUCUCUAAAUGAUUAACUUCAAACCAUUACAUGGACUUUAAUACAAACCACUUUCUGGGCCAAAUGUGCCAUAUGAAUAAAUGCAUGCUAUACUGUGACAAAGCAAGAAAGUACUCAGCAUUAGAAAUAUCUCAUGGUGCACCUGGGUGGCUCAGUCAGUUGACCGUCCCACCGGCUCAGGUCAUGAUCUUGCAGUAUGUGAGUUCGAGCCCCAUGUCAGGCUCUGUGCUGACAGCUCAGACCCUGGAGCCUGCUUCGGAUUCGGUGUCUCCCUCUCCCUCUGCCUUGCCUCUGCCUGUGCUCUCUUUCUCUCAGAAAUAAAUAAACAUUUAAAAAAAAAUAGAAAUAUCUCAUACAAAUAUUAAGAAGAAAAAAAUUAAAUGUUCUAUCCUCCAGUAACUCUUCUUGAGUCAGGUGUGUUUGUUCUUUCGCCAGGCACCCUAAUUUCAAACUGAAUGAAACAUCUGGUAUUUCUCCUGAUGCCUAAAGUUUUGAGAUGUGACAAUGUUUGUAUUCCAGUAUCCUACAGUUCCAGGAAGUUCAGCUCAUGAGAAUGUUGUAUAAUUGUGUUCAUCUGACCAAAGAACAGAAAUGAGACUCAGAAACCACCAAAGAGCUAGACGGCACAACCCGGAAGUAAUGGGCAUUUGGACGUCUAGGGAUGACCACUGAGAUGCAAGAGACAAGAUGGAGUUGGGAAGUGGGUCUGAGCAGGGAUGUCCAAACACUUAAGAUCCAGAUGGUGAAAUUCCAUCCAGAUAUGAGGAGACAGUCACUAAAGGCCUGGAGACAAAUAGCAGCUACUGGCCAAUGGAAAAGUUCUCUACUCCAUGACCUUGAGCACUGGGAAAGCAGGAAGGUUUUGCUGAUGUUGCAGGCUGUCUAUUAUCAUGGUGUUUCUCAAUUUUUUUUUUUUGCCUACAUUUUUUGGUAAGAAAUAUAUAUGUAUGUAAUAUAUAACUAUAUAUAUAAUGGAAACAGAAAUUUCCUAAAUCAAUAUUUUCCCCUCCCCUUUGAAAUAUGCUUAUUUUCUCUCAUUUUCUAUUCUGCUCUAUUCUAUUUCAUUUCUAAAAUGUCGCUCAGAUGGAAAACAAAUCUGUGGUUUCCAACAGUAUGUCUGGCAGGAAGAGACAGUGACUAUAAAAAGGUAAUUUUGCCUUUCGUGGUGAGGGAGAGUUUUGUACCUUGAUUAUGGUGGCAGUGAUCAUACACAUAUAUAUAUAUGACAGAAUUGCACACACACAUAAAGGUGUGCUCGUAAUAAUGGGAAAUCUGAGUAAGGCCACUAGUCUGUAGUAGGUAAAUGUACUGGGCCAGUGUCAGUUUCCUGGUUUUGAUAAGGUGCUAUAGUCAGCUAAGAUGUCUAUUGGGUGAAGCUGGGCGAUGGGUAGACGGGACCCCUCUGAACUACUUUUGCAACUUCUUGCGCAUGUCUAUUUCAAAACAAAAAUGUUUUGAAUAUUACUAAAGACCCAUUAAAUUACUCAAGGUCACAAUCCGUAGUUUAAAAAUGAAACCCUGGUUCACCAAGAGUGGAUGUUGGAUCAGCAGUAACUGUGCCUACAUAAACUGAUUUGUCUGAAGAGAUACAUCGGCCUGUGCAGACCUGUAUUUGAACUGGCUGGGACUCCACAACCUUAAGUCUCACUAGCCCCCACCUCAACCCCUGCCAGUGGACUGGGAAGCUAGGGGUUGCACAGAGUAGACAGACUUUUAUUUCAUUUUCUUUGUGUGUCAUCCUCUAAAUGUCCCUACCCUAUCCCUCCCCCAUUUUUUUUUUAGACACUUGAUCCUGGGGCACCUGGGUGGCUCAGUCGGUUAAGAGUCAGACUUUGGCUCAGGUCAUGAUCUGACAGUUCCUGGAACCCUGCAAUAGGCUCUGUGCUGACAGCUCAGAGCCUGGAAACUUCUUCGGCUUCUGUGUCUCCCUCUCUCUCUGCCCCUGCCUCGCUCAUACUCUUUCUUCCUCUCGCUCAGAAAUAAAAAAUAAAAAAGUUAAAA